GAUGAAGAACGCAGCGAAAUGCGAUAAGUAAUGUGAAUUGCAGAAUUCAGUGAAUCAUCGAAUCUUUGAACGCACAUUGCGCCCGCUAGUAUUCUGGCGGGCAUGCCUGUCCGAGCGUCAUUUCAACCCUCAAGCCCCCGGGCUUGGUGUUGGGGAUCGGCGAGCCUCCGCGCCCGCCGUCCCCUAAAUCUAGUGGCGGUCUCGCUGUAGCUUCCUCUGCGUAGUAGCACACCUCGCACUGGGAAACAGCGCGGCCACGCCGUUAAACCCCCAACUUCUGAACGUUUGACCUCGGAUCAGGUAGGGAUACCCGCUGAACUUAAGCAUAUCAAUAAGCGGAGGA
This 343-nucleotide unclassified non-coding RNA is filed under the name soil metagenome. Its description in RNAcentral is "partial contains 5.8S ribosomal RNA, internal transcribed spacer 2, and large subunit ribosomal RNA". The stretch from base 1 to 120 matches the Rfam family "5.8S ribosomal RNA", at positions 35 to 154 of the family's 154-position model. The record is from RNAcentral.